Molecule: transfer RNA, 77 nt
Filed under: Candidatus Omnitrophota bacterium
Lineage: Bacteria; Pseudomonadati; Candidatus Omnitrophota
Also listed under: 1 other name
Description: tRNA-Arg
Rfam family: tRNA
About the family: Transfer RNA (tRNA) molecules are approximately 80 nucleotides in length. Their secondary structure includes four short double-helical elements and three loops (D, anti-codon, and T loops). Further hydrogen bonds mediate the characteristic L-shaped molecular structure. tRNAs have two regions of fundamental functional importance: the anti-codon, which is responsible for specific mRNA codon recognition, and the 3' end, to which the tRNAs corresponding amino acid is attached (by aminoacyl-tRNA synthetases). tRNAs cope with the degeneracy of the genetic code in two manners: having more than one tRNA (with a specific anti-codon) for a particular amino acid; and 'wobble' base-pairing, i.e. permitting non-standard base-pairing at the 3rd anti-codon position.
Source: RNAcentral
GUCCCUGUAGCUCAGAUGGAUAGAGCAUUUGCCUUCUAAGCAAAGGGUCGCCUGUUCGAAUCAGGCCAGGGACGCCA